Camelus dromedarius (Arabian camel) is the source of this 515-nucleotide long non-coding RNA. RefSeq lists it as uncharacterized. The transcript is spliced from 3 exons. NCBI's taxonomy places the organism in Eukaryota, Metazoa, Chordata, Mammalia, Artiodactyla, Camelidae. The record is from RefSeq and is a predicted model, not a curated record.
UGAAAUCAUUGCUCAUACUGUUCUCUUUCUACAUCUGUGUCCAUCCUUCAACGCCUGGCUCUACUUCUGAAGCCUUGGCACGUAUCUUUUCCUUUGUUUCCUGUCAUCUCAGACUUUGGAAAUCUUGCUUAUCCACUUUACCCAGCCCUAGAUCAAUGGUCUCCUCCUCCAGGAAGCCUUCCAUGCUCUACCCUUCCCACCCUGACAGGGAGAAGAUUUUAAUGACCACAAGGCCAAAGGGUCAUUAGGCAGAUGAAAAUGGACCUUAACGUUCUCCUGGGAUGAGGAUUCCAGCAUCAAAUGGCCAACUAAAAGGCUGACGGAUAAAAUGUUUAAUCCAUGCUCACCUAUACGGACGAAAUGAUAAUGAACUAAUUUUUGCAAGAGUCAAAAAUUGAGGCGUACUCACCAGAGACUGAGCUACAAGCUAGGAUGCCAAUCAGCUUUCAUGCCUGAGAACUAUAAUAACUGUGAUAAGAUAAAAUACCAUCAUAAAUUAGAAAGCAGAAGGUAUU